This 328-nucleotide ribosomal RNA is filed under the name Acanthamoeba sp. Its description in RNAcentral is "SSU rRNA". The record is from RNAcentral. Lineage: Eukaryota; Discosea; Longamoebia; Acanthamoebidae.
AGGGUAAUGAUUAAUAGGGAUAGUUGGGGGCAUUAAUAUUUAAUUGUCAGAGGUGAAAUUCUUGGAUUUAUGAAAGAUUAACUUCUGCGAAAGCAUCUGCCAAGGAUGUUUUCAUUAAUCAAGAACGAAAGUUAGGGGAUCGAAGACGAUCAGAUACCGUCGUAGUCUUAACCAUAAACGAUGCCGACCAGCGAUUAGGAGACGUUGAAUACAAAACACCUCUAUMURUAAUUCAGUAUAUGAUCAGUCAAAUGGUUGUAUAUUGAUUGUAUAUAGGUUCGGUGAAUGACUCCGCUAGCAGAUUGUGAGACCCUAGCAGCUUGUGAGA